This 519-nucleotide ribosomal RNA is filed under the name uncultured bacterium. Its description in RNAcentral is "bacterial SSU rRNA". It matches the Rfam family "Bacterial small subunit ribosomal RNA", at positions 28 to 526 of the family's 1533-position model. The record is from RNAcentral.
GAUCAACGCUGGCGGCGUGCCUCUGACAUGCAAGUCGAACGCGAAAGUCCCCUUCGGGGGAUGAGUAGAGUGGCGCACGGGCGAGUAACACGUAGGUAAUCUACCUUCGGGUGGGGAAUAACAACCGGAAACGGUUGCUAAUACCGCAUAAUGCAGCGGCACCUAAUGGUGACAGUUGUUAAAGCGGGGGAUCGCAAGACCUCGCGCCUGAAGAGGAGCCUGCGGCGGAUUAGCUAGUUGGCAGGGUAACGGCCUACCAAGGCGACGAUCCGUAGCCGGCCUGAGAGGGCGGUCGGCCACACUGACACUGACAUACGGGUCAGACUCCUACGGGAGGCAGCAGUCGGGAAUUUUGGGCAAUGGGCGAAAGCCUGACCCAGCAACGCCGCGUGGAGGAUGAAAUCCCUCGGGAUGUAAACUUCGCAAGAACGGGGAGAAUAAGCCGGUGUCAACACCACCGGCGAUGACGGUACCGUUUGUAAGCUCCGGCUAACUCCGUGCCAGCAGCCGCGGUAAUAC